This 497-nucleotide ribosomal RNA is filed under the name uncultured bacterium. RNAcentral's name for it is "partial 16S ribosomal RNA". It matches the Rfam family "Bacterial small subunit ribosomal RNA", at positions 28 to 507 of the family's 1533-position model. The record is from RNAcentral.
GAUGAACGCUGGCGGCGUGCCUAAUACAUGCAAGUCGAGCGAACGGACGAGAAGCUUGCUUCUCUGAUGUUAGCGGCGGACGGGUGAGUAACACGUGGAUAACCUACCUAUAAGACUGGGAUAACUUCGGGAAACCGUAGCUAAUACCGGAUAAUAUUUUGAACCGCAUGGUUCAAAAGUGAAAGACGGUCUUGCUGUCACUUAUAGAUGGAUCCGCGCUGCAUUAGCUAGUUGGUAAGGUAACGGCUUACCAAGGCAACGAUGCAUAGCCGACCUGAGAGGGUGAUCGGCCACACUGGAACUGAGACACGGUCCAGACUCCUACGGGAGGCAGCAGUAGGGAAUCUUCCGCAAUGGGCGAAAGCCUGACGGAGCAACGCCGCGUGAAUGAUGAAGGUCUUCGGAUCGUAAAACUCUGCUAUUAGGGAAGAACAUAUGUGUAAGUAACUGUGCACAUCUUGACGGUACCUAAUCAGAAAGCCACGGCUAACUACGUG